CAUGCAUGCAUGAAAAGGAUACAUGGUGAUGAUUCUGGGCAGAAACACUGCACUGGACAAUAUUUCGAUUAUUGGUAUUGUGUUGACAAAUGUGUUGCACCAAAGCUAUUCCCCAAAUUGAAGUAAUAGGGUAGAAUGUUUUGGUAUUAUAAUACCGUUCUGUUUUAUCUUCAUUCCCAAAUAACUGCUCCUAAACAUGUGAUUUUGUAACCAAAACUCAUGCCCUGUAUGGUUAUUUAUUUUGCUCAUUGAGAAAUUUUGAUCCCAUGGAGACAUUGGAUGAUUAUGAAUGAAUAAUUACAUUAUGCCAAUUUGGCAGUCAUUUCCUUCA
Medicago truncatula (barrel medic) is the source of this 331-nucleotide long non-coding RNA. RefSeq lists it as uncharacterized. The record is from RefSeq and is a predicted model, not a curated record. The transcript is spliced from 2 exons. Lineage: Eukaryota; Viridiplantae; Streptophyta; Magnoliopsida; Fabales; Fabaceae.